This 305-nucleotide ribosomal RNA is filed under the name uncultured bacterium. RNAcentral describes it as "bacterial SSU rRNA". It matches the Rfam family "Bacterial small subunit ribosomal RNA", at positions 338 to 660 of the family's 1533-position model. The record is from RNAcentral.
CCUACGGGAGGCAGCAGUAGGGAAUAUUGCUCAAUGGGGGAAACCCUGAAGCAGCAACGCCGCGUGGAGGAUGCCGGUUUUAGGCUUGUCCCCUCCUUUUGUUCGCGACGCUUCUGACGGUAUCUAACGAAUAAGCACCGGCUAACUCCGUGCCAGCAGCCGCGGUAAUACGGAGGGUGCAAGCGUUACUCGGAAUCACUGGGCGUAAAGAGUGCGUAGGCGGGGUAAUAAGUCAGAUGUGAAAUCCUGUAGCUUAACUACAGAACUGCAUUUGACACUGUUACUCUGGAGUGUGGGAGAGGUAG